UACGUAGGGCCCGAGCGUUGUCCGGAAUUAUUGGGCGUAAAGAGCUCGUAGGCGGUUCGUCGCGUCGGCUGUGAAAACCCGGAGCUCAACUCCGGGCCUGCAGUCGAUACGGGCGGACUUGAGUGUUGCAGGGGAGACUGGAAUUCCUGGUGUAGCGGUGAAAUGCGCAGAUAUCUGGAGGAAUACCGGUGGCGAAGGCGGCAUCCUGGACCGACAUUGACGCUGAUGAGCGAAAGCUAGGGGAGCAAACGGG
RNAcentral lists this ribosomal RNA (253 nucleotides) under uncultured bacterium. RNAcentral describes it as "partial 16S ribosomal RNA". It matches the Rfam family "Bacterial small subunit ribosomal RNA", at positions 524 to 776 of the family's 1533-position model. The record is from RNAcentral.